RNAcentral lists this ribosomal RNA (416 nucleotides) under uncultured bacterium. Its description in RNAcentral is "bacterial SSU rRNA". It matches the Rfam family "Bacterial small subunit ribosomal RNA", at positions 361 to 774 of the family's 1533-position model. The record is from RNAcentral.
AUAUUGGGCAAUGCCCGAAAGGGUGACCCAGCAACGCCGCGUGGAGGAUGAAGGUCGUAAGAUUGUAAACUCCUGUUAGAGGGGAAGAAUAACUAAGUUUGGAGCUUAGUAUGACUGUACCCUCAGAGAAAGCCCCGGCUAACUACGUGCCAGCCGCCGCGGUAAUACGUAGGGGGCAAGCGUUGUCCGGAUCUACUGGGUGUAAAGGGCGCGCAGGCGGGAUAAAAAGUCAGUGGUGAAAUCCUACAGCUUAACUGUAGAACUGCCUUUGAUACUUUUAUUCUUGAGUUCGGGAGAGAGAGACGGAAGUCCAUGUGUAGGUGUGAAAUACGUAGAUAUCUGGAAGAACACCAGUGGCUAAGGCGGUCUCUUGGUCCUACACUGACGCUGAGGCGCGAAAGCGUGGGGAGCAAACA